UACGUAGGGACCAAGCGUUGUUCGGAUUUACUGGGCGUAAAGGGCGCGUAGGCGGCGCGGUAAGUCACUUGUGAAAUCUCUGAGCUUAAAUCAGAACGGCCAAGUGAUACUGCAGUGCUAGAGUGUGGAAGGGGCAAUCGGAAUUCUUGGUGUAGCGGUGAAAUGCGUAGAUAUCAAGAGGAACACCUGAGGUGAAGACGGGUUGCUGGGCCAACACUGACGCUGAGGCGCGAAAGCCAGGGGAGCAAACGGG
RNAcentral lists this ribosomal RNA (253 nucleotides) under uncultured bacterium. Its description in RNAcentral is "partial 16S ribosomal RNA". It matches the Rfam family "Bacterial small subunit ribosomal RNA", at positions 524 to 776 of the family's 1533-position model. The record is from RNAcentral.